Molecule: ribosomal RNA, 357 nt
Filed under: Triticum aestivum (bread wheat)
Lineage: Eukaryota; Viridiplantae; Streptophyta; Magnoliopsida; Poales; Poaceae
Description: partial small subunit ribosomal RNA
Source: RNAcentral
AUGCGUCUGAAUUCAUCUGAGUUUCUAAAUAGUCUAACAUUUUCUGGAAUACCAGAUCAUGAACUGAGGCUGAAAGUAGGAUUACCAGUAAUGCUUACGACUAUGAAUAACUUCAAUCAAAGUGCAGGACUUUGCAAUGGGACAAGACUAACAAUAACACAGCUAGAGAAGCGUUUCAUCGAAGGCCAGGUCAUAACAGGUACUAACAUUGGCGACAAAGUUUACAUCCCACGAAUUAUUAUGUCACCAAGUGAUUCAGAAUGGCCUUUCAUUGUGAAAAGGAGACAAUACCCAAUAUCAGUGUGCUUUGCUAUGACUAUAAACAAAAGUCAGGGGCAAUCUCUCAAAAAGUUUUGA